GACGAACGCUGGCGGCGUGCUUAACACAUGCAAGUCGAACGGAAAGGCCCUGCUCUUGUGGGGUGCUCGAGUGGCGAACGGGUGAGUAACACGUGAGUAACCUGCCCUUGACUUUGGGAUAACUUCAGGAAACUGGGGCUAAUACCGGAUAGGAGCUCCUGCUGCAUGGUGGGGGUUGGAAAGUUUCGGCGGUUGGGGAUGGACUCGCGGCUUAUCAGCUUGUUGGUGGGGUAGUGGCUUACCAAGGCUUUGACGGGUAGCCGGCCUGAGAGGGUGACCGGCCACAUUGGGACUGAGAUACGGCCCAGACUCCUACGGGAGGCAGCAGUGGGGAAUAUUGCACAAUGGGCGGAAGCCUGAUGCAGCAACGCCGCGUGCGGGAUGACGGCCUUCGGGUUGUAAACCGCUUUCGCCUGUGACGAGGCGUGAGUGACGGUAAUGGGUAAAGAAGCACCGGCUAACUACGUG
Molecule: ribosomal RNA, 468 nt
Filed under: uncultured bacterium
Lineage: Bacteria
Description: partial 16S ribosomal RNA
Rfam family: Bacterial small subunit ribosomal RNA
Source: RNAcentral